Amblyraja radiata (thorny skate) is the source of this 521-nucleotide long non-coding RNA. RefSeq lists it as uncharacterized. The transcript is spliced from 3 exons. The record is from RefSeq and is a predicted model, not a curated record. NCBI's taxonomy places the organism in Eukaryota, Metazoa, Chordata, Chondrichthyes, Rajiformes, Rajidae.
CAUGGCAAGGCACCGGACGUGCAGGGCUUCGCUCCCUGCCGACGUUAAGGUGAAACCUGCAGGCACCAGUGCGGGCCCAUGACACAGGCCGCGCCAGCAGCACCUGGGACAGGACUGCUUAGUGUAUGAGCGCGCGCCUAUGGUAGAGGCCACGCCAGCAGCGCCUGGGACAGGACUGCUUAGUGUAUGAGCGCGCGCCUAUGGUACAGGCCGUGCCAGCAGCGCCUGGGACAGGACUGCUCAGUGUGUCAGUGUGGGCCUAUAGUACAGGCCGCGCCAACAACGCCUGGGACAGGACUGCUUAGUGUGUGAACGCACCAACCGUAUUGGCGCACGGAGGCUGUGAGGAUUUAAAUCUCCAGCAUCCUAGCUUGACACGAGGCAGCAAAGUCCAAAGAAUCGUCGUUUCCUCCGUCUUACGAGUGGAUAUGGAGUCAGAUUAAGGAGACUGCUAUCAUCUGUACAAGAAAUAUGAAAAAUAUAAUAUCCUCACAUAUUGAUUUAAUUGAUUAAAACACAUU